AAUAAAGAAGAGAAAAUU
This 18-nucleotide small RNA is filed under the name Arabidopsis thaliana (thale cress). Its description in RNAcentral is "ATSL083600". The record is from RNAcentral. Lineage: Eukaryota; Viridiplantae; Streptophyta; Magnoliopsida; Brassicales; Brassicaceae.